CCUACGGGAGGCAGCAGUGGGGAAUAUUGGACAAUGGGGGCAACCCUGAUCCAGCAAUUCCGCGUGUGUGAAGAAGGCCUGCGGGUUGUAAAGCACUUUCAGUAGCCAAGAUGGGAUUAUUCGCUAAUAUCGAAUAAUCUUGACAUUAACUACAGAAGAAGCACCGGCUAACUCCGUGCCAGCAGCCGCGGUAAUACGGAGGGUGCAAGCGUUAAUCGGAAUUACUGGGCGUAAAGAGUACGUAGGCGGCUUUGCAAGUCGGGUGUGAAAGCCCUGAGCUUAACUCAGGAACUGCAUUCGAUACUGCAUCGCUAGAGUUUAUUAGAGGAUAGCGGAAUUCCAGGUGUAGCGGUGAAAUGCGUAGAUAUCUGGAGGAACACCAAUGGCGAAGGCAGCUAUCUGGGAUACAACUGACGCUGAGGUACGAAAGCGUGGGGAGC
Molecule: ribosomal RNA, 440 nt
Filed under: uncultured bacterium
Lineage: Bacteria
Description: bacterial SSU rRNA
Rfam family: Bacterial small subunit ribosomal RNA
Source: RNAcentral